Long non-coding RNA from Triticum dicoccoides, 1523 nucleotides. RefSeq lists it as uncharacterized. The record is from RefSeq and is a predicted model, not a curated record. The transcript is spliced from 5 exons. Lineage: Eukaryota; Viridiplantae; Streptophyta; Magnoliopsida; Poales; Poaceae.
CCCAGGUUUAAGGGGCAUGGCAUGUUGGCACCAUUCACAGCUGGAUGGCAGAGCAAUGGUGUGCAUCUGUUGGUUAUUGAGAGAUCUAAGGGUUCUUAUGUUUAUGACAUCAAUGGGAACAAGUAUCCAGAUUCUCUAGCAGGACUGUGGUGUACAACUUUAGGAGAGUACCAAAUUUGUGAAGACUUUCAUUUCUUACAUUCGUUACUUUCAGCCGCUCAAUAAACCAAGGUAAAGAACGACAAGCACGGAAAAGGCUAGCUGUUGGCUGUGGGUGCUGAGCUGACGGACAAUGUGGAAGAAGGUGUGAUCUUGGCAGUGGCCCAUGAAGUACUUUUUUCUUUACAUGUUGAUCACUACUGCACUGUUCAAGUUCUUAAUCAAGUGACUGAUCGACUAUGAUUGUGGGUCACAACCAAGGGAAUGCUAACCGUGGUGGUGGUGGUGAUUGAAGAGCCCUUAAUCAAUUCGGCCUUAUAGAUUGGAGCACCAACAUGGGAUAUUGCACCAUCUAGCUCUGUCUAUCUGAUUCAUCUUAUUUUCUUGGUCUAUCAACUAGAGGAAUCUACAAGUAUGUGCUGCAUGUUUUCUGCUAACAGGAGAGCAACACAUUUGUGAAGACUUUCAUUUCUUGUUUACUUUCAGCCUGUCAUAAUUUUUUAACUGAAGACAUAUUAUUGUUAGUUGGAUGAGAGCUGAUGCUAUACUGCCAGUAGAUAGACUAGGGUGCAAACUGUCUUAAUCUGUGCAAAUAACAGUGCAAACAAACCUCGUAUUCUUUGAGGAACAAACUGAUAUUAUGGUUACCAUUUUUAACAGAAGCAGGAAUAUUAGUAAGCAUUAUAUAUUGAUGUUACAUGUUGUGCUGCACCUUAGGAUCGUCAGCUCGGCAUGGCCUUACAAAAUAUGUGCAUUAUUCGGCCAACCAUUCUUCCUUUUGCUACCUGAACUGACAACAAGCAUUGUAGUAACGUGUUGUUUAUGAGAAUUCCAGAUUCUUGAAUACGUUCCUGACCUCAUGCAAUCAAUAGUUGGUCUGAUCUCAUCCUCCGACGACCAAGAGUUCCGAGACGAAAGCGUGGUGCCCCUCGCGAAACAUAGGGACAUGACAGAAAGUUGCAAGUCCACAAGUUGAUCUAAGAUGUCUCGGUCAUCGCUUUUGUUCAUAACAUGGUAGACACAUUUUGUUCAUAUGGAAGUUGAUGCCGGCUUGGUGAUUGAAGGAUUGGUCACUUUCAUAAUACUCCCUCUGUACCAAAAUACUCGUAGUUGGGGGAACUUGAACUAAUUUCCCCCAACUACAAGUACUUCAGCACAGAGGAAGUAUUUUGUAGUAGCCAAGUGAUCGAACAAUUGGUCUCUUAGGAGCUUAGCCUUUAUAUUUUGCAGCAGGACACAUCUUGUAUGUCGACUUAUGUAUUACCUUCAUGGUUGUAGAAAACUCGAGUGAAGAUAACAAUUUUUCAAUAUAUGUUGAAUAAAUGUACUAGUGAAUGGUGAAUGGUGUCUUGUGAUGAAUAGAA